GACGGAGGGCGCAAGCGUUGUUCGGAAUUACUGGGCGUAAAGCGCGGGCAGGCGGUCUGUUAAGUCGUUUGUGAAAAUCCGGAGCUCAACUCCGGAAAUGCGUACGAUACUGGCAGGCUGGAGAUCGGUAGAGGCUAGCGGAAUUCCUGGUGUAGCGGUGGAAUGCGUAGAUAUCAGGAAGAACACCUGUGGCGAAGGCGGCUAGCUGGGCCGAGUCUGACGCUCAUCCGCGAAAGCGUGGGGAGCAAACAGG
This 253-nucleotide ribosomal RNA is filed under the name uncultured bacterium. RNAcentral's name for it is "partial 16S ribosomal RNA". It matches the Rfam family "Bacterial small subunit ribosomal RNA", at positions 524 to 776 of the family's 1533-position model. The record is from RNAcentral.